GAUGAAGAACGUAGCGAAAUGCGAUACGUAAUGUGAAUUGCAGAAUUCAGUGAAUCAUCGAAUCUUUGAACGCACAUUGCGCCCGCCAGUAUUCUGGCGGGCAUGCCUGUCCGAGCGUCAUUUCAACCCUCAAGCCCCCGGGCUUGGUGUUGGAGAUCGGCGAGCCCCCCGGGGCGCGCCGUCUCCCAAAUAUAGUGGCGGUCCCGCUGUAGCUUCCUCUGCGUAGUAGCACACCUCGCACUGGGAAACAGCGUGGCCACGCCGUAAAACCCCCCACUUCUGAAAGGUUGACCUCGGAUCAGGUAGGAAUACCCGCUGAACUUAAGCAUAUUAAUAAGCGGAGGA
This 345-nucleotide unclassified non-coding RNA is filed under the name soil metagenome. Its description in RNAcentral is "partial contains 5.8S ribosomal RNA, internal transcribed spacer 2, and large subunit ribosomal RNA". The stretch from base 1 to 120 matches the Rfam family "5.8S ribosomal RNA", at positions 35 to 154 of the family's 154-position model. The record is from RNAcentral.